GAUUUGACAAUCACAAACUUUGUGGUGAUGGAUUUAUCAAAUUCCAAACCACCACCACCAACUGUUCCCGCCGCUAAUUCGCAGACAUUUCCUCACGAGGAUGACAGCGUUGUAUUUGUAAAAGUUAUCAUUCCUGAGCCACUAGAAAUAAUUGAUCUUACAGAAGAAGAUCCUUGAAUUAUUGUUAGAUUGGUCAGAAAAAGGUUUGAAAACAAUAUUUGCUAGAGUUUGAAACUAAACUUUAAAUUGAACGUGCAAAAGGCCCACCAGCAAAAUCUCGUUAAACGACACUUUUCCUGCAAUUGAUACAAAGCACAGCAAGUGUCCAACUUUGAAACGAGUCACAAUUCUAAAGCUCAAAUGAUCCGGAAAAUCGAAAAAAGAACCGUGCUCCUCUUGAAGCGCCUCAAGAAGCUGGCGAUUCAAAAUUCCAAAAACGAAGCAAAUUCCCUGUAAAAAGUGUCACCUCUGCCUCAGUUACAACAAAUUGAUCCCGGGCAGGACCAAAAAAAACGAACCCCAGCCAUAAUCAUCAUCAUCUGCAGCACGAUUGCAUCGCCCGGCGGUCCCUGGGUGGGACAAAUGGACGGACUUUUUGCCCGGUCCAAAGUGGAUCUGCGGAGGUUUACGUUUCCUUUUCCCCCAAGGGGGUUGGAGGUAAGGUGUGACCAGAGAGAGAGAGACUUGAAUAUGCAAAAAGCCGGCAAAUUGCAGCUGCACCUUGGCCCAAAAGAGGAUGCUGCCUGCAGUCCGGGUGGAGUCGGAGUUGGUGACUAUUUCUCAUCUCCUUCAAGUGGCGGAACGUGGAGGAUUCGGUUUUCAAUUUCUGGGAGGAAGGGAAGGGGAAAGCGGAUGCCGAGUAAAAAUGUUUAAUAUUAAAAUUUAAGUGCAUAUAAACGAAA
Long non-coding RNA from Culex pipiens pallens (northern house mosquito), 902 nucleotides. RefSeq lists it as uncharacterized. The record is from RefSeq and is a predicted model, not a curated record. Lineage: Eukaryota; Metazoa; Arthropoda; Insecta; Diptera; Culicidae. The transcript has 2 exons.